Long non-coding RNA from Hordeum vulgare subsp. vulgare (domesticated barley), 1129 nucleotides. RefSeq lists it as uncharacterized. The transcript has 2 exons. The record is from RefSeq and is a predicted model, not a curated record. Lineage: Eukaryota; Viridiplantae; Streptophyta; Magnoliopsida; Poales; Poaceae.
AACACAUUAGUUACUUAACCAAUAAGUCUUCAAACCACCAAAAUCACUAAGGGCACUAGAUGCACUUACAAAAAUGCUAGUACAACAUUAUAGGUGAAAUAAUUAAUUUACACACUUAUGCAAAUAUAUAAAGACAUGAGGUCUUGGAAUGAGAUUUUGCCCAUUAUACAAUGGUGUAAAAUUAUGUUCUACGAAAUUUAGGAUGACGUGUGUUUCUCCCAUAUAUAUUUUUCUAAACCCAAGAGCUUAGAAUAGAGAUAAUAAAAACCAAAGAGUUAAAGUGUUAAAAUAGUAAGCCUGAGGGCUAAACUACAAAGUCUAAUUAAUCUGAUGGCUCAAUUCACGUUUCUGUAGAUAACAGAAAAUGGAAGGACUAAUCGGAAGAAUGGGAAAGAGAUAAGGUCCCUAUCCCUUUGUGUGUGAGUGUAUGGAUGUUAAUCGAUCUGAUUGAAUCCUUAGCUCCAAUUCAAUGCAGCGACCAUCGCCUUGCAUCUGGUCGCCUCAUACGCUGAACGGCGCCGCGCUGGAGCCACCGCCACGUCUUGCCGGUGUAGGUUGGUCAUGGCCCUCGCCACCAUCACAGGCCGUUGGCCGUGCGCCCGCUUCCCGUUGCCGCUGAUGCCGGAGGGCGUCAAGCCAGGCCAUCGCCUUAGCAAAUCAUGUUGAGGGAGGCCCGACGCUUCUGCCGCACCUUGGCGGGACGUCGUCGCGAGGAGCAGCCUGGCCGAAGGAUGCAUCCACUGGUGUCGCCGUCGGAGUUUUGCUUUGGACAGCAUUGAUAUGCCGCCCUGGAGGGAUGCAUGAUCUUCUUUGCCAUGAAGAUGGAGGGGCUGUUGAGACUGCUAGAGUUGUUGCCUCGAUCCUUGCCGGGGAUGGUACCGUUCAUGGCUUGACGCUGAGAAUUCCAUCAUCGGACGAUCGUCAUGCGCCGACCGUAUUGCCACUAGAUGCGAGAGAUAGCCUUGGCGCCUUGUCACUGUUAGGCUGCCUCCCCUUCGCUUUCUUAUUGUGUUGUGUUGGCCAAAACGCUCUCGGGUACGAGCGUGCUGAUAAUGUGUGAAGAGAGGAAGCGCAAAUGACAGGAACAGUUGCUUUCAUUGAUGAAUUUAUGGGUAUAUAUACCCUGAUA